Molecule: long non-coding RNA, 547 nt
Filed under: Ananas comosus (pineapple)
Lineage: Eukaryota; Viridiplantae; Streptophyta; Magnoliopsida; Poales; Bromeliaceae
Description: long non-coding RNA (ACOM_LNC020913)
Source: RNAcentral
UUCUUUUACAAUUAACACCCUCACAAUACACUAUUCACAUCAGUUUAGCAGAUACAAACUGACGUUUUUUGCUGGAGCCAUUCUAAAUGUCUGUUUGAGCUCAAAUUUGACAGUCAGGCUCGAUUUUACUUAACUUAACGAAAGAAAUUUUAAUAUUUCAGUUUCGACCACAUUUGGUCACCGAAAAGCUCUGCCGAACUGUAAUCUCUAGCAGAUAGCAGUCGGAUUUUAUUUUUCACCUUCCGGGUGUCAGAAUUACAUGAAACUUUAAAUCUAGCCUCAUAAAAAUAAUUCUAACAUAUUUUAUAAUUUUCUGACACUGUACAUUUUCUGCUAAAAUAUCAGUCCCGUUUCGCACAGAAAAUUCUAAAUCUUCUAUUUUCAUUCCGAUUUCAGCACGAGUCAUUCCAAACUUAUAUUUCACUUCUCUAAAUCCAAUAAAAAUAAUAUCUCACACUAUUUUUAUUUAUUUUUACUUUUAUAUCAAAAUCCAGUAUGUUACACGCGUGAUAUCUAGCGAUCCGUCUGUCAGAUUUUCCAACGAGUU